Molecule: ribosomal RNA, 1440 nt
Filed under: Limosilactobacillus fermentum
Lineage: Bacteria; Bacillati; Bacillota; Bacilli; Lactobacillales; Lactobacillaceae
Description: bacterial SSU rRNA
Rfam family: Bacterial small subunit ribosomal RNA
Source: RNAcentral
GUCGAACGCGUUGGCCCAAUUGAUUGAUGGUGCUUGCACCUGAUUGAUUUUGGUCGCCAACGAGUGGCGGACGGGUGAGUAACACGUAGGUAACCUGCCCAGAAGCGGGGGACAACAUUUGGAAACAGAUGCUAAUACCGCAUAACAGCGUUGUUCGCAUGAACAACGCUUAAAAGAUGGCUUCUCGCUAUCACUUCUGGAUGGACCUGCGGUGCAUUAGCUUGUUGGUGGGGUAACGGCCUACCAAGGCGAUGAUGCAUAGCCGAGUUGAGAGACUGAUCGGCCACAAUGGGACUGAGACACGGCCCAUACUCCUACGGGAGGCAGCAGUAGGGAAUCUUCCACAAUGGGCGCAAGCCUGAUGGAGCAACACCGCGUGAGUGAAGAAGGGUUUCGGCUCGUAAAGCUCUGUUGUUAAAGAAGAACACGUAUGAGAGUAACUGUUCAUACGUUGACGGUAUUUAACCAGAAAGUCACGGCUAACUACGUGCCAGCAGCCGCGGUAAUACGUAGGUGGCAAGCGUUAUCCGGAUUUAUUGGGCGUAAAGAGAGUGCAGGCGGUUUUCUAAGUCUGAUGUGAAAGCCUUCGGCUUAACCGGAGAAGUGCAUCGGAAACUGGAUAACUUGAGUGCAGAAGAGGGUAGUGGAACUCCAUGUGUAGCGGUGGAAUGCGUAGAUAUAUGGAAGAACACCAGUGGCGAAGGCGGCUACCUGGUCUGCAACUGACGCUGAGACUCGAAAGCAUGGGUAGCGAACAGGAUUAGAUACCCUGGUAGUCCAUGCCGUAAACGAUGAGUGCUAGGUGUUGGAGGGUUUCCGCCCUUCAGUGCCGGAGCUAACGCAUUAAGCACUCCGCCUGGGGAGUACGACCGCAAGGUUGAAACUCAAAGGAAUUGACGGGGGCCCGCACAAGCGGUGGAGCAUGUGGUUUAAUUCGAAGCUACGCGAAGAACCUUACCAGGUCUUGACAUCUUGCGCCAACCCUAGAGAUAGGGCGUUUCCUUCGGGAACGCAAUGACAGGUGGUGCAUGGUCGUCGUCAGCUCGUGUCGUGAGAUGUUGGGUUAAGUCCCGCAACGAGCGCAACCCUUGUUACUAGUUGCCAGCAUUAAGUUGGGCACUCUAGUGAGACUGCCGGUGACAAACCGGAGGAAGGUGGGGACGACGUCAGAUCAUCAUGCCCCUUAUGACCUGGGCUACACACGUGCUACAAUGGACGGUACAACGAGUCGCGAACUCGCGAGGGCAAGCAAAUCUCUUAAAACCGUUCUCAGUUCGGACUGCAGGCUGCAACUCGCCUGCACGAAGUCGGAAUCGCUAGUAAUCGCGGAUCAGCAUGCCGCGGUGAAUACGUUCCCGGGCCUUGUACACACCGCCCGUCACACCAUGAGAGUUUGUAACACCCAAAGUCGGUGGGGUAACCUUUUAGGAGCCAGCCGCC